CUACGGGUGGCACCAGUGGGGAAUAUUGCGCAAUGGGCGAAAGCCUGACGCAGCAACGCCGCGUGAGUGAUGAAGGCCUUCGGGUCGUAAAGCUCUGUCGGGAGGGAAGAACACCUUCGGGUCUGACGGUACCUCCCGAGGAAGCACAGGCUAACUCCGUGCCAGCAGCCGCGGUAAUACGGAGUGUGCAAGCGUUGUUCGGAAUUACUGGGCGUAAAGCGCGCGUAGGCGGCUUGAUAAGUCAGAUGUGAAAUCCCUCGGCUUAACCGAGGAACUGCAUUUGAAACUGUCAGGCUUGAGUACGUGAGGGGGAAGCGGAAUUCCCAGUGUAGAGGUGAAAUUCGUAGAUAUUGGGAGGAACACCAGCGGCGAAGGCGGCUUCCUGGACCGAUACUGACGCUGAGGCGCGAAAGCGUGGGGAGCAAACAGGAUUAGAUACCCCUGUAGUC
Molecule: ribosomal RNA, 449 nt
Filed under: uncultured bacterium
Lineage: Bacteria
Description: partial 16S ribosomal RNA
Rfam family: Bacterial small subunit ribosomal RNA
Source: RNAcentral